AGUGAACGCUGGCGGUAGGCCUAACACAUGCAAGCCGAACGGCAGCACAGUAAGAGCUUGCUCUUACGGGUGGCGAGUGGCGGACGGGUGAGGAAUACAUCGGAAUCUACUUUUUCGUGGGGGAUAACGUAGGGAAACUUACGCUAAUACCGCAUACGACCUACGGGUGAAAGCAGGGGAUCUUCGGACCUUGCGCGAUUGAAUGAGCCGAUGUCGGAUUAGCUAGUUGGCGGGGUAAAGGCCCACCAAGGCGACGAUCCGUAGCUGGUCUGAGAGGAUGAUCAGCCACACUGGAACUGAGACACGGUCCAGACUCCUACGGGAGGCAGCAGUGGGGAAUAUUGGACAAUGGGCGCAAGCCUGAUCCAGCCAUACCGCGUGGGUGAAGAAGGCCUUCGGGUUGUAAAGCCCUUUUGUUGGGAAAGAAAAGCAGCAGGCUAAUACCCCGCUGUUCUGACGGUACCCAAAGAAUAAGCACCGGCUAACUUCGUG
RNAcentral lists this ribosomal RNA (492 nucleotides) under uncultured bacterium. RNAcentral's name for it is "partial 16S ribosomal RNA". It matches the Rfam family "Bacterial small subunit ribosomal RNA", at positions 29 to 507 of the family's 1533-position model. The record is from RNAcentral.